CCUGCUCCCGGCCUCCCCCCCGCCCCUCGGCUGAGCCUUUGUUUCAGAGCCCUUUGUUUUAUUUUAUUAUUUUGCGCAAGACCGAGGUGCCCCCGGGGAGGGGGGAACCGGCUCGAGGAGGUGCAAAUCGCGGCAAUAAACAUGUGUCCGGGCUGGUAGCGAUGGUGGUAGGAAAAUAUUCCCGUCCUCCCCCUCCCUGGCUGAGGAAACGCAUCCCCCCCCCGUCCUCCGCCGCUUCUCGGCUCUCUGUAUGGACAUCACGAGCCGUCUCGGUGGAAGGAAAAAAAAAAAAAAUCUGCUUUUUCCCUCGGAUCAGCGUGCGCGCUGCGUGGCAAGGUGCGGGUGGGAGGGGGCAGGCAGCGCCAGCCCUGCUGCCCCGUCCGCCCCCCCCCGCCGCGCACACGCGUGCAGCUGAAACCCGCGCGUUCGCAGGCGCAGCGUUAGGCCGGGGGCUCGGGGCUAGCCGGGCCCCCCGGGAGGCGACCUGCAGGCGGGCGAGCAGCGGCGGCGUCGCCCGGCGAGAGGCGGUACGGCGCUUGCAGCACCCGCCGGCGGCGGCACCGUGCGGCUCCCCAGGGCGCUGCGCGUAUGGCCCGCACAGGGCGGGCGGCCGUGCCUGUGCCCUGCCGCGGACGCCGUCGGUUUUGCCCGUGGUGUCCCGCCCGGAAGGGUUUUGCCCUCUCGCAGGCUCCUCCCGAAGCGCCGAUGCGAAGAGCCCGCGUAAAUCUGCCGCUCUGGCGGCGGUGUGUCCCGCAAGCUCUUGCGAGGGGCUCGGCGGUGGCGGAGACACGGCUCCCCUGGCGUCACGUCGGUUCGCUCCUGUCGGCACUUUUUAGCUAUUUUUAUAUGAAGGAAUUGUGGUGAUUUGCUUUUAGUGAUGAUCUGGCCUUUUUUUUCCCCCUUUUUUUUAGUGGGGGAGGGAAAAGAAGGGGUGGAGGGAGGAUGCUAUUGUUAGUGCAGAAAGAAAGCCCGGUGUUCCUUGGAACUGUAGUUGCUGUUAAAUAUGUAGGCAUAUGUAUGAUUCAUUAUGCAGUUAUAAAAACGAAGGCACGCCAGAUUGCCGCUUCGCCUCAAAAUAUACUUUCUUUUACAGCAACAAGUAGUACAGGCUUCUCUCCCCGCUCUUCUCUCCCCCUCCCGCCUUCAGCUCAUGCUGACAAAAUGCCAGUAAGAAAGGUCAGUCUGUUUAUGUAAAGAUCACUGUGUUUCUUAGCAAAGACUGCUGCACAUCAUGCCUGCAAUGACUAUCAAAUAGACUUUGGGAGCUGAGAUAUUCAAUAAGAGUACUGUCCAUUUUCCGGGACUGAUAAAACCCCAGAGAAAAUGCAAGACAAAAACAGCCGCACGGCUUUGUGAAUGGGAGAGCCGGGAUGGGCAUGUGCAGCAAGAUCUUUACCUCGCAACAGUGUUUGUUACUGCAGAUGCUAGCUAGAUCCAAUGCAACUUUUUUUUUCUUUAAUACAAAGAGCCUUGCUGAUAAACUAAUGCUUUUCUGCUCUUCUCUUUAGGUUUCAUGCUAGCCCUAAUGAUGUCCUAGGCUGGACUUGUUCUGCAGCCGCUUCACACCGAAGAUAGAUUAAAUCACCCAAGGGGAAUUUCAUUUUGAGUUUGAUCAACUCUUCCCCUACCCCCAUCCCACCCCAAAAAAGAGAUGUUUCUAUUGGCUUUGGCUUAUACCCUACAUAAUUAGGCUGAGUUUUCAUUUCAUAGCAUCUCAAGGUGCAGUGCACACAGCCUGCUCUAUAUUUCACAGUGCUCCCUUUCCCUUCCUGCCAACUACCUUAAUCUAGAAAAAAGUGCAGCUUUGUUUUCUCAGCUAGUAUCACCUCUUCUGACCUUUUUCCUCCUUUAAAUUUAAUGAGGAUAUUCUGAUAUAGUUCACCACCAUAUAUAUAUUCCAUACCUAAAGGGAGGAAAAAAAAAAGUUAUCAUGGCGUUAACACGUAUCUUCCAUUGUGGCCAACUCCAAGAAUUAAUUGGCACCACGGUUCCAUUUUAGCCCUUAAAAUAGUCCUUAAGCAGAAUUUAAGUGUUGCAGAGGACUUUUUCAGGCCUUUUGUUCAACGGUGUUAACAAUCCAUGACCCUAAUAUAAAUAUUAUGAAAUAUCAUCCUAGUGCAGAAUACCGAAACUGCAAGCAAUGGUUCAAGAUCAGAUAACACCCAUUGAAAAUCCUAAAUUCAAGCUGGGGAGCCAGUCUCAACUGAGGAGCUGCAUAGCAUCACACGAGAGGCACAUCACAUCAGCCAGUGGCCUGGUGGCCCUCAAUUGCAGAUCAUUAGAUCCUGUAAAUCCACAUUAAAGAGUGGUGUGUAUCUGCGUGAGUCAAUGCACACCAUAGCAGGGUGCCCGUAACAAUUUUUGGACUUUGGGUAAUCAACCGUUGACGCCCUUUCCUCCAGAACCUGCUGCAUGUUUCCUUUUAGCUAUGGGAAUGGCACGCAAUUUAUUACACCAGUUCAGCAGGUACCCUUAGUCUGCAGCUUGCAAACCUAUUAUGCAAACAAUAUUGUCACCUUCUUAAAGCGCCCUGCUCCUGGCGAUCACGAAUUCUCCGCAUGCCACUCUGCUGUAAAUUCUCCAUGUAAAAUUUCCAUCCACUUCAUGUCUUCUCAGGGGAAACUGCACUUGACUUCCAAAACAGCUGGGAGGGGCAAAUUGAUAACCUCUUAGCGUGCCUUGCCCUUAACUGAAAUUAUGACAAAGUAAUUAAAGUUAAAGCAAAAAGGCUUAAACUCUGGACCGCUUAUGUUAUUAGUGUUUUUGCAUGAGUGAGAUCUCUUUGGAAGUCUGAUCUGAAUGUCAAAUUUGCAUAUGAAGCUAGGAAACGUAGGGAAUGCUUAAUUGCUGUCUGUGUCCAGAGUUCAGAUUUUGCUUUGAAAACAAUGCAUCACCUAUUCCUGGGUUUUGCUUCUGGUUACUGUUUGAGUGCUUCCAUAAAUUGAACGGAGCAUCUAAAUAAGUCCUGUGCUUGCUCACUAUAGAAACAAGCAUUCUGUAUUUAGAAUUUUAUUUCAUACAUGCAUUUUGAGCCAUACGGUUUUGCUUUAGCAGAGAUAUGAUUCACUUGAAUAAAAUUAUAUCCACCAACUUUUUCUCUUCUUGCAGAGGAGUUUCUUUUUAGGAUUCCCCAGCGUUUGACUUACAGGGAAUUAACAGGCUAUUGCUGUCAUUAAAGCCCCAGUCUUCAGACUCUUCACCUCUGUGAAGAGACUGAGGGUAUAUCCCCACUCCUUCCAGAAUAUGGUAAUUUCAGGACCUGAGAACACACACAGAAAUCAGCUGUGCACAGAAAUAUGGAGGCUUUGGAGGACUCCUUUUGCUCCGUGAUUAUGCUGCAAAACGUGCAUGGGAUUGGCGAGCCCAGUAGGGGUUAGAUAGAGCCCCUGCUGGAGGUGGAUAAUACUAUUUAUUGGUAUUUGAUAUCUUAAGUGAAGCUCAACACUUAGGUAACGCAGGUGGUGAUUUGCUUGGGGACCAAAACAGCUUUAGCACCCGUUAGUAACAGCCAGCGUAUGCCGUGUGACGAAGCUGUGGUUUUGCAGCUAAACUCUCCCAGUUGCCGCGGUUGGGGAUAGACUGUGCCUCCAUCCUCCACUUAUGCACACAGCUGAUAAGUAUGACCGAAGGAUCUUAUCGUUGCCUUAGUCCCUCAUUCCCAUUGCCUGCUAUUAUCUCCUAUGCUUACUUGUUAUGCGUUGAUCCCAGUGAGGUUGGGAUUUUUUAUUUUUUAGUGGUUAAGAGCUCUGCCUUAUUGUACGCUUGCAAGGCAGCCUCAGCGGGGCUCCCAUGCCGCCCAGUUGUGUCGUGCUGGCCCCACAGAAGGAGAAGGGGUGCUGAUACUUUUUUCCCUAGUUGCUUUCAGAUUAGACGCAAUCCAAAACAUCUCUCUGUUCCUGGAUCUUUCACAUCCUCCCUGUCCUGCCUUGCAGGUUUGUUGGCUAAUUAAAGUCAGCUUGCUGACUAACCACUUCACUAGAUCUGAGAAAAUUUGCUCCAAUUCAUCCUUCUCUUUCUACAUGCCAUUUUCUGAAGAAAUUCAUCAGUCUAGUUCAGGUUCAGUCAUAAAUAUAUUCUCUGGACUGCACAGAAACUGCAUAUAAUGACGCCAUUACCUAAAUGUUGACUCAGAUCUUCUAAUCCUUCCAGUAUGUCUCAUCCAUACAAUACAAAGCCCAUCUCAUUUUCAAAUGUCUACAAGGAGAUGAACUUAGCAAAAGGCAAGGAUUCUCAGCAGAUCUUUUUUUUUUUUUUUUUUUUUUUUUCCUUUUCCAAAUGCUAAAUGCUUCAUUAGAAUAGCAGGAUAAAACCCUUUCAAAUAUUUUUAAAUAUCUCAUUCUUUCAGCACUGUGGAUCAUUUAUCUGAUAUGUUUGUAUGUAGCUGGUCUUUUUAUAGUGCAAGGUACCAUAAGCAUCAGUUGAUAAUAAGGUUCCUAAUAAAGAAAGAAAUACUUCAUGUUUGUCACAGGUGAUUAUGGUGCACUUUGCAAUGGCUUAGUUAAACAAUUUCUCUUCCUAUAGGGCUGUAAAGUGGGCAAGCAGCAAAGACAAAUUCUUGUGCAAAGUUUGCCAAUGUAUCCACAGUUUACAACAGUUCUGGGAGUAUUUUCCAUUCUCAAAUCAGCAAUUGGAACAAUGAAGUCAUUUUGAGUUAUGCGGUUUCUUAAUGUGCUCUUUGCACAGCAAUUACUGUAUCGUCACCUGCAACAUAUUGCAGGGCUGGAAAAUUAAAACAAUUAUCCUAGCAA
Long non-coding RNA from Dromaius novaehollandiae (emu), 4748 nucleotides. RefSeq lists it as uncharacterized. The record is from RefSeq and is a predicted model, not a curated record. The transcript is spliced from 3 exons. Lineage: Eukaryota; Metazoa; Chordata; Aves; Casuariiformes; Dromaiidae.